UGGGGAAUAUUGCACAAUGGGCGCAAGCCUGAUGCAGCCAUGCCGCGUGUAUGAAGAAGGCCUUCGGGUUGUAAAGUACUUUCAGUCGGGAGGAAGGUGUCAAGGUUAAUAACCUUGGCAAUUGACGUUACCGACAGAAGAAGCACCGGCUAACUCCGUGCCAGCAGCCGCGGUAAUACGGAGGGUGCAAGCGUUAAUCGGAAUUACUGGGCGUAAAGCGCACGCAGGCGGUUGAUUGAGUCAGAUGUGAAAUCCCCGGGCUCAACCUGGGAACUGCAUUCGAAACUGGCAGGCUAGAGGCUUGUAGAGGGGGGUAGAAUUCCAGGUGUAGCGGUGAAAUGCGUAGAGAUCUGGAGGAAUACCGGUGGCGAAGGCGGCCCCCUGGACAAAGACUGACGCUCAGGUGCGAAAGCGUGGGGAGCAAACAGG
Molecule: ribosomal RNA, 429 nt
Filed under: Chloroflexota bacterium
Lineage: Bacteria; Bacillati; Chloroflexota
Description: Chloroflexi bacterium partial 16S ribosomal RNA
Rfam family: Bacterial small subunit ribosomal RNA
Source: RNAcentral